UCUCUCUAAUUUUUCAUGGUCGCCAACUCUUGAAGCAUUACACAUGAGAGCAUCAACACCAGGCUUGCUCUGGUGAUGAGGAGUGGCAAGUACACUCUAGGGUACAUGACAGUCGUAACUCCAAAGGGAAGUUGAUUAUAAUUUCAAACAACUGCCCUCCUCUGCGAAAGUCUGAAAUCGAAUACUACGCUAUGCUUGC
Prunus avium (sweet cherry) is the source of this 199-nucleotide non-coding RNA. The record is from RefSeq and is a predicted model, not a curated record. NCBI's taxonomy places the organism in Eukaryota, Viridiplantae, Streptophyta, Magnoliopsida, Rosales, Rosaceae.